ACACAGGGGUUGGAUGGACACAGGGGUUGGAUUUGGAUUUGAAUUUGGAUUUGGAGGACACAGGGGCUGGAUUUGGAUUUGGAUUUGGAGGACACAGGAAUUGGAUUUGAAUUUGGAUUUGGAGGACACAGGGGUUGGGAUUGGGUUUGGAUUUGGAGGACCCAGCCUUUAUUUCCCCCCUUUAUUCCCUUUAUUAUUUCCUCCCUUUAUUCCCUUUAUUUCCCCCCUUUAUUUCCUCCCUUUAUUCCCUUUAUUUCCACAUCACUCUUGUCAUUAUUUGCUGCUUCUGGAGGGCUUUGCUUUCAUUUCCCUUCAGCAUUUUCUUAUAGAAAAUAAAGAAGAAAAAUCUUCUUCAUUUUAGGGUUAAAAAAAACAAAAAAAGGUUUUCUUUGGUUCCUUUAGAAAAACCAUUUGGGUUUUCUUUAACCCAAAACCUGGGUUCAGUUCCCAUCAGAAAAAGCUCCUGAGGUUUGGUCCAAAAUCCUCCNGUUUAUUCACUCCAUCAAUCACUUUUUAUAACCGUGUUAAUUAAGUUCAUGCAUAUUGCAAUGAACUUAA
Molecule: long non-coding RNA, 558 nt
Filed under: Zonotrichia albicollis (white-throated sparrow)
Lineage: Eukaryota; Metazoa; Chordata; Aves; Passeriformes; Passerellidae
Description: lncRNA (ENSZALG00000003177.1)
Source: RNAcentral